UCUUGUUCGAACUAGAAUGCAUCGUAAGUAUAACGAAUAUUUUUUUGAAUAUAGGAACUUGAUUGUUACAAAAACCUAUAUCAUAUUAAUUAAGUACAAAAAAUUUAUAAAACUAUUGAUAUGCGUAAUUUAAAUUGUAAUAAGUAAAAAAAUGCAUGGAAUUGAUAUAAUAUUGUAUUAAAGGGUUCGGAAAAGAUGCUUGGAAUUGAUUUAAUAUAUUAUAGUAUUAAAAGGUUCGGAAACUUUUUUUUGGAAUUGAUUUAAUUUUGUAUGAAAUGGUUCAGGAAAGAUGUUUGGAAUUGAUUUAAUGUUGUAUUCAAAGGUUCGAAAAAAUAUGUUUGGAAUUGAUUUAAUAUUGUAUUAAAAGGUUCGGAAAAGAUGUUUGGAAUUGAUUUAAUAUUGUAUUGAAAGGUUCAGAAAAGAUGCUUGAAAUUGAGUUAAUAUUGUAUUAAAGGGUUCAGAAAAAUGUUUGGAAUUGAUUUAAUAUUGUAUUAAAAGGUUCAGAAAAGAUACUUGGAAUUGAGUUAAUAUAGUAUUAAAAGGUUCAGAAAGGAUGUUUGGAAUUGAUUUAAUAUUGUAUUAAAAGGUUCGGAAAAGAUGUUUGGAAUUGAUUUAAUAUUGUAUUGAAAGGUUCAGAAAAGAUGCUUGGAAUUGAGUUAAUAUUGUAUUAAAAGGUUCGGAAAAGAUGUUUGGAAUUGAUUUAAUUUUGUACGAAAAGGUUCGGAAAAGAUGUUUGGAAUUGAUUUAAUAUUGUAUUAAAAGGUUCAGAAAAGAUGCCUAGAAUUGAGUUAGUAAUGUAGUAUUAAAAGGUUCGUAAAAUAUGUUUGGAAUUGAUUUAAUAUUGUAUUAAAAUUUUAUGUAAUAAUUAAAUUUUGAUAUAUUUUUCUUUGUAGGCAAUGAUACACUCUUGAGGUUGUCAAAAUUGUCAGUAUAUAUUGUCAAUGUAGAUACAAACCUAUUGAAUGUUUCAUACAUUAAUUCUUGUAUUAAUAUUAAAUUUAUUUCUUUAUUGCUAUCUUAGAAUAUUAGCAUAAGAUACUUUGCAAAUACAAUUUGUAGUAUUGGACUAUAUAUCAGUAUGAUUAUUGAUAGAUUAACAAUAAAUCAACACAUUGAAAGUUGAUUGAAAUAGUUUUGUAACAAAACUAGUCUAAAGAAAUCUCUUUAAAAAAUAUUUUAGUUUUUAUAUAAUUACUUUGAG
This 1201-nucleotide unclassified non-coding RNA is filed under the name Melitaea cinxia (Glanville fritillary). RNAcentral describes it as "misc RNA ENSMCXG00005015019.1". The record is from RNAcentral. Lineage: Eukaryota; Metazoa; Arthropoda; Insecta; Lepidoptera; Nymphalidae.